This 476-nucleotide ribosomal RNA is filed under the name uncultured bacterium. RNAcentral describes it as "partial 16S ribosomal RNA". It matches the Rfam family "Bacterial small subunit ribosomal RNA", at positions 28 to 523 of the family's 1533-position model. The record is from RNAcentral.
GAUGAACGCUGGCGGCGUGCUUAACACAUGCAAGUCGAGCGAGUGAGUUCUUCGGAACGAUCUAGCGGCGGACGGGUGAGUAACACGUGGGCAACCUGCCUCAUAGAGGGGAAUAGCCUCCCGAAAGGGAGAUUAAUACCGCAUAAAAUUAUCGAGUGGCAUCACAUGAUAAUCAAAGGAGUAAUCCGCUAUGAGAUGGGCCCGCGGCGCAUUAGCUAGUUGGUGAGGUAACGGCUCACCAAGGCGACGAUGCGUAGCCAACCUGAGAGGGUGAUCGGCCACAUUGGGACUGAGACACGGCCCAGACUCCUACGGGAGGAAGCAGUGGGGAAUAUUGCACAAUGGGGGAAACCCUGAUGCAGCAACGCCGCGUGAGUGAUGAAGGUCUUCGGAUUGUAAAGCUCUGUCUUUGGGGACGAUAAUGACGGUACCCAAGGAGGAAGCCACGGCUAACUACGUGCCAGCAGCCGCCGUAA